RNAcentral lists this ribosomal RNA (253 nucleotides) under uncultured bacterium. RNAcentral describes it as "partial 16S ribosomal RNA". It matches the Rfam family "Bacterial small subunit ribosomal RNA", at positions 524 to 776 of the family's 1533-position model. The record is from RNAcentral.
UACGUAGGGUGCAAGCGUUGUCCGGAAUUAUUGGGCGUAAAGGGCUCGUAGGCGGUCUGUCACGUCGGGAGUGAAAACUCAGGGCUUAACCCUGAGCCUGCUUCCGAUACGGGCAGACUAGAGGUAUGCAGGGGAGAACGGAAUUCCUGGUGUAGCGGUGAAAUGCGCAGAUAUCAGGAGGAACACCGGUGGCGAAGGCAGCUUCUUGGCUCAUUCCUGACGUUGAGGCACGAAAGCGUGGGGAGCAAACAGG